This 1283-nucleotide ribosomal RNA is filed under the name Cognatishimia activa. Its description in RNAcentral is "bacterial LSU rRNA". It matches the Rfam family "Bacterial large subunit ribosomal RNA", at positions 1618 to 2925 of the family's 2925-position model. The record is from RNAcentral. Lineage: Bacteria; Pseudomonadati; Pseudomonadota; Alphaproteobacteria; Rhodobacterales; Paracoccaceae.
CCUGGAAAUAGCUCCAUCAUGAGAUCGUACCCUAAACCGACACAGGUGGACUGGUAGAGAAUACCAAGGCGCUUGAGAGAACGAUGUUGAAGGAACUCGGCAAAAUACCUCCGUAAGUUCGCGAGAAGGAGGCCCAGUUUCUACGCAAGUAUUGACUGGGGGCACAAACCAGGGGGUGGCGACUGUUUACUAAAAACACAGGGCUCUGCGAAGUCGCAAGACGACGUAUAGGGUCUGACGCCUGCCCGGUGCCUGAAGGUUAAAAGGAGGGGUGAGAGCCUCGAAUUGAAGCCCAGGUAAACGGCGGCCGUAACUAUAACGGUCCUAAGGUAGCGAAAUUCCUUGUCGGGUAAGUUCCGACCUGCACGAAUGGCGUAACGACUUCCCCGCUGUCUCCAACAUCGACUCAGCGAAAUUGAAUUGCCUGUCAAGAUGCAGGCUUCCCGCGGUUAGACGGAAAGACCCCGUGCACCUUUACUACAGCUUCACACUGGCAUCAGGCCAUGCAUGUGCAGGAUAGGUGGUGGGCAUUGAAACCGGAACGCCAGUUCCGGUGGAGCCUCCCUUGAGAUACCACCCUUGCAUUGCUUGAUGUCUAACCGCGGUCCGUUAUCCGGAUCCGGGACCCUGUGUGGCGGGUAGUUUGACUGGGGCGGUCGCCUCCUAAAGCGUAACGGAGGCGCGCGAAGGUUGGCUCAGAGCGGUCGGAAAUCGCUCGUUGAGUGCAAUGGCAGAAGCCAGCCUGACUGCGAGACUGACAAGUCGAGCAGAGUCGAAAGACGGCCAUAGUGAUCCGGUGGUCCCGAGUGGAAGGGCCAUCGCUCAACGGAUAAAAGGUACGCCGGGGAUAACAGGCUGAUACUGCCCAAGAGUCCAUAUCGACGGCAGUGUUUGGCACCUCGAUGUCGGCUCAUCUCAUCCUGGGGCUGGAGCAGGUCCCAAGGGUACGGCUGUUCGCCGUUUAAAGAGGUACGUGAGCUGGGUUUAGAACGUCGUGAGACAGUUCGGUCCCUAUCUGCCGUGGGUGUAGGAUACUUGAGAGGAGUUGCCCCUAGUACGAGAGGACCGGGGUGAACGAUCCACUGGUGGACCUGUUGUUGCGCCAGCAGCAGUGCAGGGUAGCUAUGAUCGGACAGGAUAACCGCUGAAGGCAUCUAAGCGGGAAGCCCCCCUCAAAACAAGGUAUCCCUGAGGACCGUGGUAGACCACCACGUCGAUAGGCCGGAGAUGUAAGUGCAGCAAUGCAUUCAGUUGACCGGUACUAAUGGUCCGAUAGGCUUGAU